RNAcentral lists this ribosomal RNA (424 nucleotides) under Fusobacteriota bacterium. RNAcentral's name for it is "Fusobacteria bacterium partial 16S ribosomal RNA". It matches the Rfam family "Bacterial small subunit ribosomal RNA", at positions 355 to 776 of the family's 1533-position model. The record is from RNAcentral. Lineage: Bacteria; Fusobacteriati; Fusobacteriota.
UGAGGAAUAUUGGUCAAUGGUCGAGAGCCUGAACCAGCCAAGUCGCGUGAAGGAAGACAGUCCUAAGGAUUGUAAACUUCUUUUAUACGGGAAUAACGGGCGAUACGAGUAUUGCAUUGAAUGUACCGUAAGAAUAAGCAUCGGCUAACUCCGUGCCAGCAGCCGCGGUAAUACGGAGGAUGCGAGCGUUAUCCGGAUUUAUUGGGUUUAAAGGGUGCGUAGGUUGUUCGGUAAGUCAGCGGUGAAACCUGAGCGCUCAACGUUCAGCCUGCCGUUGAAACUGCCGGGCUUGAGUUCAGUGGCGGCAGGCGGAAUUCGUGGUGUAGCGGUGAAAUGCAUAGAUAUCACGAGGAACUCCGAUUGCGAAGGCAGCUUGCCAUACUGCGACUGACACUGAAGCACGAAGGCGUGGGUAUCAAACAGG